This 1177-nucleotide long non-coding RNA is filed under the name Gadus morhua (Atlantic cod). Its description in RNAcentral is "lncRNA (ENSGMOG00000031717.1)". Lineage: Eukaryota; Metazoa; Chordata; Actinopteri; Gadiformes; Gadidae. The record is from RNAcentral.
CGGGCACUUGAGAGACGCUGAUUCUUCCCAGUCAGCCAAAUAGAUAUCUGCAUAGGCUGGUGAAUAUUUUCUGCCCAUAGCGCAACCGCAUAUCUGAAGAAAAAAAGAUUUGCCAAACAGGAAGUCAUUUCGGGUAAGGGUAAGUUGUAGAAACUGUAAAAUAAAAUAAUCAGGGCGAGAUGAGUCGGGUGAUGCUUCUAAUGCUUUUUUAACAGCCUCUAGACCAAGAAGGGUGUCAAUGUUAGUGUAGAGAGAAUCAACGUCUAUAGAAAAGAUGAACGUGUUCUCAGGGACCUUUAAAUGUUUCAAUUUAUUUACAAAUGUAUACGUGUCUUUGACGUAACUCGAAUGUGAAUGGGACAGGGGAUUUAUAUAGUAAUCUAUAAACUCUGCCAGGCGAUAGGACUCAGAACCACAGUCGCUAACAAUAGGACGACCCGGAGGGACCAGAUGUGGGACAGUCCAGCUCUCUGCAGCCUUUUGAAUCUUUGGAAGAAGAUAAAAUAGUCUAGCGCGAGGAAGAUCCGGGCCAUAAAGGUAGUUAGCUUGUCUUGAUAUUAUAAGACGUAGCCUUUUCAUUUGGUCAAUAAGAGUUCUGACUAUUGUUUGUGUUUCCAAGAACAUCGGCUGAGUGAGAGGGCGAUAAUAGGUAGUGUCGUGAAGUUGGCGCAUCGCCUCCAAAACAUAAUUGGUACGAUCUUGUAGUACUAUUUGGCCACCUUUAUCUGCCGGUUUGAUAAUAAUCUCCUGUCGGGAUUUUUAUGUUUUUGAGAGCCUGCUGUUGCCGGAUGUUGAUGUUGCCCUCCCCUUUAUGUCAUCGGGGUCGGAGGUCGCGAAAGGACCGGAGGUCGUGGUCAAUAAGGUCACGUAAAGGUGACGAGACGGACUCCAAGGCUGGCUCCCACAUGGACGGUCGCGGUCAGGAAGUGACGGUGUUGGAAUGAAGGUAAGGCCACGUUCAAGGAUUUCGAGUUCUAAUGGGGACAAUUGAAAGGCAGAGAGAUUAGUAACAUUGGAAAGGGAGACCGGAGGGAACGACAAUGCGACUGGUGACCCAACUAUAAAUCCAGUUGAGUCAACCAGUCCUUCAUCAUCAGUCUCCCAGUCUCCGGAGUCCAGUGAAUAUUGUCAUGCGUGGUUUAAAAUUUAAGUAAAGAUAACUGGUUAAGGUAGCCAG